AAAUUUAAUUAAAAUCAUGGCCUGUUUUGUUGAGUUGAAUUUUAGAGGUUUUUGGCGUAUCAAGUUAUUGAAGGAGGUGAGGCGCAGUUAAAUGCUGGAUCUCUUUCAUUCAUAAGCGUCCAAGGUACCAUGACACAAUCAUGGAAAAGUUCUCUAAAGACACUGCAACAUCAGGUCAGGUCCUUAUUCUUGAGUGGAAUAUCAUAAGAGUUUACACCAAGUAUAACAGCCCCUAAUUGUAACUGCUGAAGAUAUGUGUGAGAGAGAAUGCGACAGACAAGUUGUGAUGUGUUUGCGCUGUAAUAUAGUUUUGGAAUGGACCUCUGUUUCAUGUCUUGUUUCUCAAAUGCAAGAUGUGCCUUGGAAGUCCUUUUUCCGAAGCCCUGCUAUAUG
Molecule: non-coding RNA, 393 nt
Organism: Arachis ipaensis
Lineage: Eukaryota; Viridiplantae; Streptophyta; Magnoliopsida; Fabales; Fabaceae
Source: RefSeq, a predicted model, not a curated record